Molecule: ribosomal RNA, 255 nt
Filed under: uncultured Pseudomonas sp.
Lineage: Bacteria; Pseudomonadati; Pseudomonadota; Gammaproteobacteria; Pseudomonadales; Pseudomonadaceae
Description: partial 16S ribosomal RNA
Rfam family: Bacterial small subunit ribosomal RNA
Source: RNAcentral
GGUGGGCACUCUAAGGAGACUGACCGGUGACAAACCGGAGGAAGGUGGGGAUGACGUCAAGUCAUCAUGGCCCUUACGGCCUGGGCUACACACGUGCUACAAUGGUCGGUACAAAGGGUUGCCAGGCCGCGAGGCGGAGCGAAUCGCUUAAAGACCGGUCCCAGUACGGAUUGGAGUCUGCAACCCGACUCCAUGAAGUUGGAAUCGCUAGUAAUCGCGCAUCAGCAUGGCGCGGUGAAUACGUUCUCGGGGUUU